AAUAGAUACCCAGGUAGUCCACGCCGUAAACGAUGGAUACUAGCUGUUUGAGCGCAAGUUUGAGUGGCUAAGCGAAAGUGAUAAGUAUCCCACCUGGGGAGUACGGGCGCAAGCCUGAAACUCAAAGGAAUUGACGGGGGCCCGCACAAGCGGUGGAGCAUGUGGUUUAAUUCGAUGAUACGCGAGGAACCUUACCAGGGCUUAAAUGUAGAUUGACGUAUUUGGAAACAGAUAUUUCUUCGGACAAUUUACAAGGUGCUGCAUGGUUGUCGUCAGCUCGUGCCGUGAGGUGUCAGGUUAAGUCCUAUAACGAGCGCAACCCCUGUUGUUAGUUGCCAGCGAGUAAUGUCGGGAACUCUAGCAAGCUGCCAGUGUAAACUGUGAGGAAGUGGGGAUGACGUCAAAUCAUCACGGCCCUUACGUCCUGGGCCACACACGUGCUACAAUGGCCGGUACAGAGAGCAGCCACUUAGCGAUAAGGAGCGAAUCUAUAAAGCCGGUCACAGUUCGGA
RNAcentral lists this ribosomal RNA (512 nucleotides) under uncultured bacterium. RNAcentral describes it as "bacterial SSU rRNA". It matches the Rfam family "Bacterial small subunit ribosomal RNA", at positions 777 to 1297 of the family's 1533-position model. The record is from RNAcentral.